CCAGAGAACUUAGCAGAGAUGCUUUGGUGCCUUCGGGAACUCUGAGACAGGUGCUGCAUGGCUGUCGUCAGCUCGUGUUGUGAAAUGUUGGGUUAAGUCCCGCAACGAGCGCAACCCUUAUCCUUGUUGCCAGCGGCUCGGCCGGGAACUCAAAGGAGACUGCCGGUGAUAAACCGGAGGAAGGUGGGGAUGACGUCAAGUCAUCAUGGCCCUUACGGCCAGGGCUACACACGUGCUACAAUGGCGCAUACAAAGAGAAGCGACCUCGCGAGAGCAAGCGGACCUCACAAAGUGCGUCGUAGUCCGGAUUGGAGUCUGCAACUCGACUCCAUGAAGUCGGAAUCGCUAGUAAUCGUAGAUCAGAAUGCUACGGUGAAUACGUUCCCGGGCCUUGUACACACCGCCCGUCACACCAUGGGAGUGGGUUGCAAAAGAAGUAGGUAGCUUAACCUUCGGGAGGGCGCUUACCACUUUGUGAUUCAUGACUGGGGUGAAGUCGUAACAAGGUAAGCGUAGCGAG
This 520-nucleotide ribosomal RNA is filed under the name uncultured bacterium. RNAcentral's name for it is "bacterial SSU rRNA". It matches the Rfam family "Bacterial small subunit ribosomal RNA", at positions 988 to 1509 of the family's 1533-position model. The record is from RNAcentral.